GACGAACGCUGGCGGCGUGCUUAACACAUGCAAGUCGAACGGAAAGGCCCUGCUUGCGGGGUGCUCGAGUGGCGAACGGGCGAGUAACACGCGGGUGGAUAGCCCCUUACUUUGAGAGAAGCCUGGGCAACUGGGCCUAAUACAUGCUAGGAAAAUGCUGUAGGCGGUGGGUUGGAAAGUUUAGGUUCGGUUUGGGAUGGGCUCGCGGCCUAUCAGCGUGUUGCUGGGGUAAUGGCCGACCAAGGCGUCGACGGGGCGCCGGCCUGAGAGGGUGGACGGCCACGUUGGGACUGCGAUACGGCCCAGACUCCUACGAGAGGCAGCAGUGGGGAAUAUUGCACAAUGGGCGCAAGCGUGAUGCAGCUACGGCGCGUGGGGGCUGACGGCCUUCGGGUUGGGAACGCCUUACAGCCAUGGCGAAGCCCUUGGGGUGACGGUAAUGGUAGAAGAAACACCGGCUAACUACGGG
This 469-nucleotide ribosomal RNA is filed under the name uncultured bacterium. Its description in RNAcentral is "partial 16S ribosomal RNA". It matches the Rfam family "Bacterial small subunit ribosomal RNA", at positions 28 to 507 of the family's 1533-position model. The record is from RNAcentral.